Molecule: ribosomal RNA, 2246 nt
Filed under: Salmonella enterica subsp. enterica serovar Typhimurium
Lineage: Bacteria; Pseudomonadati; Pseudomonadota; Gammaproteobacteria; Enterobacterales; Enterobacteriaceae
Description: partial 23S ribosomal RNA
Rfam family: Bacterial large subunit ribosomal RNA
Source: RNAcentral
AGACCCGAAACCCGGUGAUCUAGCCAUGGGCAGGUUGAAGGUUGGGUAACACUAACUGGAGGACCGAACCGACUAAUGUUGAAAAAUUAGCGGAUGACCUGUGGCUGGGGGUGAAAGGCCAAUCAAACCGGGAGAUAGCUGGUUCUCCCCGAAAGCUAUUUAGGUAGCGCCUCGUGAAUUCAUCUCCGGGGGUAGAGCACUGUUUCGGCUAGGGGGCCAUCCCGGCUUACCAACCCGAUGCAAACUGCGAAUACCGGAGAAUGUUAUCACGGGAGACACACGGCGGGUGCUAACGUCCGUCGUGAAGAGGGAAACAACCCAGACCGCCAGCUAAGGUCCCAAAGUCAUGGUUAAGUGGGAAACGAUGUGGGAAGGCCCAGACAGCCAGGAUGUUGGCUUAGAAGCAGCCAUCAUUUAAAGAAAGCGUAAUAGCUCACUGGUCGAGUCGGCCUGCGCGGAAGAUGUAACGGGGCUAAACCAUGCACCGAAGCUGCGGCAGCGAACGUAUCACCCAAGACAACUUUACGGAGUUGACGAUUGACGGAGCGAAGCGACGUCAAAGCGUUCAUUAAAGUCGAGUUGGCUUAGGGAUACGUUCGUUGGGUAGGGGAGCGUUCUGUAAGCCUGUGAAGGUGUGUCGUGAGGCAUGCUGGAGGUAUCAGAAGUGCGAAUGCUGACAUAAGUAACGAUAAAGCGGGUGAAAAGCCCGCUCGCCGGAAGACCAAGGGUUCCUGUCCAACGUUAAUCGGGGCAGGGUGAGUCGACCCCUAAGGCGAGGCCGAAAGGCGUAGUCGAUGGGAAACGGGUUAAUAUUCCCGUACUUGGUGUUACUGCGAAGGGGGGACGGAGAAGGCUAUGUUGGCCGGGCGACGGUUGUCCCGGUUUAAGCGUGUAGGUGUGUGUUCCAGGUAAAUCCGGUUCACUUUAACACUGAGGCGUGACGACGAGGCACUACGGUGCUGAAGCAACAAAUGCCCUGCUUCCAGGAAAAGCCUCUAAGCAUCAGGUAACACGAAAUCGUACCCCAAACCGACACAGGUGGUCAGGUAGAGAAUACCAAGGCGCUUGAGAGAACUCGGGUGAAGGAACUAGGCAAAAUGGUGCCGUAACUUCGGGAGAAGGCACGCUGACACGUAGGUGAAGUGAUUUACUCAUGGAGCUGAAGUCAGUCGAAGAUACCAGCUGGCUGCAACUGUUUAUUAAAAACACAGCACUGUGCAAACACGAAAGUGGACGUAUACGGUGUGACGCCUGCCCGGUGCCGGAAGGUUAAUUGAUGGGGUCAGCGCAAGCGAAGCUCCUGAUCGAAGCCCCGGUAAACGGCGGCCGUAACUAUAACGGUCCUAAGGUAGCGAAAUUCCUUGUCGGGUAAGUUCCGACCUGCACGAAUGGCGUAAUGAUGGCCAGGCUGUCUCCACCCGAGACUCAGUGAAAUUGAACUCGCUGUGAAGAUGCAGUGUACCCGCGGCAAGACGGAAAGACCCCGUGAACCUUUACUAUAGCUUGACACUGAACAUUGAGCCUUGAUGUGUAGGAUAGGUGGGAGGCUUUGAAGUGUGGACGCCAGUCUGCAUGGAGCCGACCUUGAAAUACCACCCUUUAAUGUUUGAUGUUCUAACGUGGACCCGUAAUCCGGGUUGCGGACAGUGUCUGGUGGGUAGUUUGACUGGGGCGGUCUCCUCCUAAAGAGUAACGGAGGAGCACGAAGGUUGGCUAAUCCUGGUCGGACAUCAGGAGGUUAGUGCAAUGGCAUAAGCCAGCUUGACUGCGAGCGUGACGGCGCGAGCAGGUGCGAAAGCAGGUCAUAGUGAUCCGGUGGUUCUGAAUGGAAGGGCCAUCGCUCAACGGAUAAAAGGUACUCCGGGGAUAACAGGCUGAUACCGCCCAAGAGUUCAUAUCGACGGCGGUGUUUGGCACCUCGAUGUCGGCUCAUCACAUCCUGGGGCUGAAGUAGGUCCCAAGGGUAUGGCUGUUCGCCAUUUAAAGUGGUACGCGAGCUGGGUUUAGAACGUCGUGAGACAGUUCGGUCCCUAUCUGCCGUGGGCGCUGGAGAACUGAGGGGGGCUGCUCCUAGUACGAGAGGACCGGAGUGGACGCAUCACUGGUGUUCGGGUUGUCAUGCCAAUGGCACUGCCCGGUAGCUAAAUGCGGAAGAGAUAAGUGCUGAAAGCAUCUAAGCACGAAACUUGCCCCGAGAUGAGUUCUCCCUGAGACUUAGAGUCUCCUGAAGGAACGUUGAAGACGAC